UGGUAAAUUCUGAUAUAGAACUGUCAACUCUGGUGUCGAGUUACAAACUAAGUAAUACUGGUAGCGUAGCUGGCAAAAUGGUUAAUGCAAUGGUAGCGUAGCAGGCAAAACAGUUAAGGCACUGGUCUAAAUAUGGUAGCACAGAAACUCAUUAACAUUGACUUACUAAUUACAUGUACAACAGAUAACAAGAUUAAUAAAGCUUCACAAUUUAUUAUAUACAAAACAUUCAAUACUAUUCCAAGUAUAAAUCACAUGAAAAACCACCAGA
This 271-nucleotide long non-coding RNA is filed under the name Mytilus galloprovincialis (Mediterranean mussel). The record is from RNAcentral. Lineage: Eukaryota; Metazoa; Mollusca; Bivalvia; Mytilida; Mytilidae.